RNAcentral lists this ribosomal RNA (1472 nucleotides) under metagenome. Its description in RNAcentral is "bacterial SSU rRNA". It matches the Rfam family "Bacterial small subunit ribosomal RNA". The record is from RNAcentral.
AGAGUUUGAUCCUGGCUCAGGACGAACGCUGGCGGCGUGCCUAACACAUGCAAGUCGAGCGGAGACAGUGAGUAGCUUGCUAUGAGCUGUUUUAGCGGCGGACGGGUGAGUAACGCGUGAGCAACCUUUCCCAGACAGGGGAAUAACACACCGAAAGGUGUACUAAUACCGCAUAAGACCACGGGAUCACAUGGUUCUGGGGUAAAAGAUUUAUCGGUUUGGGGUGGGCUCGCGUCCGAUUAGGUAGUUGGUGAGGUAACGGCCCACCAAGCCGACGAUCGGUAGCCGACCUGAGAGGGUGAUCGGCCACAUUGGGACUGAGACACGGCCCAAACUCCUACGGGAGGCAGCAGUGGGGAAUAUUGGGCAAUGGAGGAAACUCUGACCCAGCAACGCCGCGUGGAGGAAGAAGGUUUUCGGAUCGUAAACUCCUGUCCUUGGAGACGAGUAGAAGACGGUAUCCAAGGAGGAAGCCCCGGCUAACUACGUGCCAGCAGCCGCGGUAAUACGUAGGGGGCAAGCGUUGUCCGGAAUAAUUGGGCGUAAAGGGCGCGUAGGCGGCUCGGUAAGUCUGGAGUGAAAGUCCUGCUUUUAAGGUGGGAAUUGCUUUGGAUACUGUCGGGCUUGAGUGCAGGAGAGGUUAGUGGAAUUCCCAGCGUAGCGGUGAAAUGCGUAGAGAUUGGGAGGAACACCAGUGGCGAAGGCGACUAACUGGACUGUAACUGACGCUGAGGCGCGAAAGUGUGGGGAGCAAACAGGAUUAGAUACCCUGGUAGUCCACACUGUAAACGAUGAAUGCUAGGUGUAGGGGGUAUCGACCCCUUCUGUGCCGCAGUCAACACAAUAAGCAUUCCGCCUGGGGAGUACGGCCGCAAGGUUGAAACUCAAAGGAAUUGACGGGGGCCCGCACAAGCAGCGGAGCAUGUGGUUUAAUUCGAUGAUACGCGAGGAACCUUACCCGGGCUUGAAUUGCAGAGGAAGGAUUUGGAGACAAUGACGCCCUUCGGGGCCUCUGUGAAGGUGCUGCAUGGUUGUCGUCAGCUCGUGCCGUGAGGUGUCGGCUUAAGUGCCAUAACGAGCGCAACCCCUCUCCAUAGUUGCCAUCAGGUGAAGCUGGGCACUCUGUGGACACUGCCACCGUAAGGUGCGAGGAAGGUGGGGAUGACGUCAAAUCAGCACGGCCCUUACGUCCGGGGCUACACACGUGUUACAAUGGCAGGUACAGAGAGCCGGUCGUAUGCAAAUACGAUCCAAUCCUUAAAGCCUGUCUCAGUUCGGACUGGGGUCUGCAACCCGACCCCACGAAGCUGGAUUCGCUAGUAAUCGCGCAUCAGCCAUGGCGCGGUGAAUACGUUCCCGGGCCUUGUACACACCGCCCGUCAAGCCAUGAAAGCCGGGGGCGCCUGAAGUCCGUGACCGCAAGGAGCGGCCUAGGGCGAAACUGGUAAUUGGGGCUAAGUCGUAACAAGGUA